GACGAACGCUGGCGGCGUGCCUAAUACAUGCAAGUCGAGCGGACCAAAGGGAGCUUGCUCCUGGAGGUUAGCGGCGAACGGGUGAGUAACACGUGGGCAACCUGCCUGUAAGACUGGGAUAACAUCGAGAAAUCGGUGCUAAUACCGGAUAAUAAAAAGAACUGCAUGGUUCUUUUUGAAAGAUGGUUUCGGCUAUCACUUACAGAUGGGCCCGCGGCGCAUUAGCUAGUUGGUGAGGUAACGGCUCACCAAGGCGACGAUGCGUAGCCGACCUGAGAGGGUGAUCGGCCACACUGGGACUGAGACACGGCCCAGACUCCUACGGGAGGCAGCAGUAAGGAAUCUUCCGCAAUGGACGAAAGUCUGACGGAGCAACGCCGCGUGAGUGAUGAAGGUUUUCGGAUCGUAAACUACUGUUGUUA
RNAcentral lists this ribosomal RNA (422 nucleotides) under uncultured bacterium. RNAcentral describes it as "bacterial SSU rRNA". It matches the Rfam family "Bacterial small subunit ribosomal RNA", at positions 28 to 441 of the family's 1533-position model. The record is from RNAcentral.